This 1886-nucleotide long non-coding RNA is filed under the name Phoenix dactylifera (date palm). RNAcentral's name for it is "long non-coding RNA (PDAC_LNC001673)". Lineage: Eukaryota; Viridiplantae; Streptophyta; Magnoliopsida; Arecales; Arecaceae. The record is from RNAcentral.
CGGGUGGAGCCUUAGAGUCUCUUUGACGACAGCACGAAGGUAUGGUAGAUUCGGGAUGUCGCUCUCUCGGAUCAGCCUGUCCUUGCCUACAGCUUUGUCAAUCUCUUCCCUCAAUUUUCUUAGAAUGCGUGGAUGGUUGAUGAGCUCCGCUAGCGCCCAUUCCACCGUAGCGGCUGACGAAUCAGAGCCUGCUGUGAAAAUAUCCUACAUAAUAUAGGAAGAAUAAGGAGUACGAUAUUUUGGACUCAUUUGCUUCACUGAAAAACAAGAAAGAAAAGUAUGAAAAUGCUUCUUAUUUGAUUGGAUUUCUUUAGAGAGGAAGAUGAAAAAGUAGUAUUUUUAUAAAAAUAAAUUUUUAUAUUUAGUAAAAAAAAUUCAUAAAAAAAUAAAAAAAGGUACUUUCCUGCCAACUAGAAAUUAGAUUUUUUUCUAAAGAUAAUUUUAAGCUAUCAAAAUUCAUAAAUAAGAUCUUUCCAUUAGUAUAAUAGAUAUUUAAUAUAAUUUUUUAAAAAAUAAAUACUUAACUAAAUAUAAGCCACUAUACAAUAUGCUGCUUUUCUACGAUCAACCAAAUAUACCAACUUAUUUUUCAAACAUUAUAUUUUUUUUAAAAUUAUUUUUUUUAAAAAGGCUCAAAAGGUGACGUGCAGCUCAAAAGGCUCAGCUACGGAUGAAGAAAAGGAGAGGUCAGAAAUAGGGAUAAAAAGGCUGCCGUAGGGCGGCGGCCACGUACACAGUAAUCCCUGGAUAAACCUGCGUUAACACAGGGAUUAGGGGGCUUAUUCCGUUUCCAAGCGGGGCCUAAAAGAUCAUUGUAACUUACCAGAACAAAGCCCUUGAUGUUCUCUCUUGUUAGCUUCAUAUCAGCAUUCGCGUCCUCGGACACGUCGAGCAUGAUAUCAAGCAAGUCCUUGACACCAUUAUCUCCCUCUCCUCUCUCUUUUCUUCUCUUCCUAAUCUCUUCUUUCUCCUUGAUGAUCCUCUCCACGAACGCAUCAAACCUUUCAUGAACCACGUUGAUCCUUUUGUUCAGCCCUUGCAAGUCCAAGUUGCGGAAAAUCCCGAUGUAGUCACUGAGGUUGAACACCCCAACGAGCUCGGCCACCUGCUUCACCAACUUCCUCGCCUCCUCCGUGUCAGAAGUCGUCGAGCUCGCCGUCAUUCUGGUGAUCACGUUGUUGGUCAUCUUGAUCAGCUCCCAGCUGAUAUCGACGGGGUUGCUGGAUCUGGCCUUGUGGAGCAAGGUCCGCAAGAGGGCAUGGAGCUCCGUACGCCGGACCGGGGAGAGUUGGUCGACCGUCCGGCCGCCGAGGAGCUCCGACAUGCAAAGCCUCUUCAUGAACUUCCAGUAGGGGCCGUAGGGGGCGAAGGCGAAGCCGGCGGAGUCGUAGGCGAAGCGGCGGACGGCCGUGUACUGGGGGCGGUUGGCAAAUGCGAGGUCGUGGGUCUUGAGGAGCUCCCUCACGGUGUCGGGCGACGAGGCCACGACGGCGGGCGUGGAUCCGAGGAGGAGGUGGAUAGAACAAAGCCCUUGAUGUUCUCUCUUGUUAGCUUCAUAUCAGCAUUCGCGUCCUCGGACACGUCGAGCAUGAUAUCAAGCAAGUCCUUGACACCAUUAUCUCCCUCUCCUCUCUCUUUUCUUCUCUUCCUAAUCUCUUCUUUCUCCUUGAUGAUCCUCUCCAUGAACGCAUCAAACCUUUCAUGAACCACGUUGAUCCUUUUGUUCAGCCCUUGCAAGUCCAAGUUGCGGAAAAUCCCGAUGUAGUCACUGAGGUUGAACACCCCAACGAGCUCGGCCACCUGCUUCACCAACUUCCUCGCCUCCUCCGUGUCAGAAGUCGUCGAGCUCGCCGUCAUUCUGGUGAUCACGUUGUUGGUCAUCUUGA